GAUGAACGCUGGCGGCGUGCCUAACACAUGCAAGUCGAGCGGACGGACGUGCAUUUCGCUUCUCUUAUGUUGGAGUCGGGUGGGUAAGUAACACGUAACUCACCUGUGUUUAAGACUCAGCUAGCUUCUAAGACCCGUAGCCAAUAUCUGAUUAUAUUUUGGACCGCAUGGUUCUACAUUUAAAGACAGUCUUGCUUCUACUUGUAGGUGGUUCCGUGCUGCAUUAUCUAGUUGGUAAGGGGACGGCUUACCAAGGCAACGAUGCCUAGCCGACCUGAGAGGGUGAUCGGGCACACUGGAACUGAGACAGGGUCCAGACUCCUACGGGAGGCAGAAGUAGGGAAUCUGCAGCAAUGGGCGAAAGCCUGACGGAGAAACGCCGCGUGAGUGAUGAAGGUCUCCGGAUCGUAAAACUCUGUUAUUAGGGAAGAACAGAAGUGUAAGUAGCUGUGCACGUCUUGACGGUAGCGAAACAAGAAGCAACGGCUAACUACGUG
Molecule: ribosomal RNA, 497 nt
Filed under: uncultured bacterium
Lineage: Bacteria
Description: partial 16S ribosomal RNA
Rfam family: Bacterial small subunit ribosomal RNA
Source: RNAcentral